This 75-nucleotide transfer RNA is filed under the name Pseudomonadota bacterium. RNAcentral's name for it is "tRNA-Gln". It matches the Rfam family "tRNA". Rfam says of the family: Transfer RNA (tRNA) molecules are approximately 80 nucleotides in length. The record is from RNAcentral. Lineage: Bacteria; Pseudomonadati; Pseudomonadota. RNAcentral also lists the same sequence under 1 other name.
UGGGGUGUAGCCAAGUGGUAAGGCAGCUGGUUUUGAUCCAGCCUACCGGUGGUUCGAAUCCAUCCACCCCAACCA